ACCAAUUAUCAGGUCUUAAGUUGGUUUGAUCCAGUCGAAGGUCGAACUCAAAUCUCCCGCUCUCGAGACAAGCACACUAUCAAAAAGUUAAACUUUGGACCGUAACCCUUAGCUAACAUAGAUAACUAUCAAAUAAUCGAAGCGAUUUUCAGUUUCCUGCUAAGAGGGGCGUAAAAAAAGGGGGGGGUAUCUGCACGGAAGAACGCGAAAUAAAAUUGCAAUUUCAUGAUGAACGAACAAUUAAAAAUGUCUUUCACGUUGAUCUUUUUACCGAUUUCACGAAACACGGUGAAUAACGAACCUUUUUCACGGCUGCACGUGAAAUAAAAAUGGCAAAACACGUUGCACGAAAAUAACCCUUUACCACCCUCU
This 372-nucleotide long non-coding RNA is filed under the name Mytilus galloprovincialis (Mediterranean mussel). Lineage: Eukaryota; Metazoa; Mollusca; Bivalvia; Mytilida; Mytilidae. The record is from RNAcentral.